UGGUGGGACUGAGGUUGGAGAGCUGGCU
This 28-nucleotide non-coding RNA is filed under the name Rattus norvegicus (Norway rat). Lineage: Eukaryota; Metazoa; Chordata; Mammalia; Rodentia; Muridae. The record is from RNAcentral.